This 433-nucleotide ribosomal RNA is filed under the name uncultured bacterium. Its description in RNAcentral is "partial 16S ribosomal RNA". It matches the Rfam family "Bacterial small subunit ribosomal RNA", at positions 29 to 507 of the family's 1533-position model. The record is from RNAcentral.
AACGAACGCUGGCGGCAUGCCUAACACAUGCAAGUCGAACGACACCUUCGGGUCUAGUGGCGCACGGGUGCGUAACGCGUGGGAACCUGCCCUUAGGUUCGGAAUAACUCCCCGAAAGGGGUGCUAAUACCGGAUAAUGUCUUCGGACCAAAGAUUUAUCGCCUUUGGAUGGGCCCGCGUUGGAUUAGCUAGUUGGUAGGGUAAAAGCCUACCAAGGCGACGAUCCAUAGCUGGUCUGAGAGGAUGAUCAGCCACACUGGGACUGAGACACGGCCCAGACUACUACGGGAGGCAGCAGUGGGGAAUAUUGGACAAUGGGCGAAAGCCUGAUCCAGCAAUGCCGCGUGAGUGAUGAAGGCCUUAGGGUUGUAAAGCUCUUUUACCCGGGAUGAUAAUGACAGUACCGGGAGAAUAAGCUCCGGCUAACUCCGUG